RNAcentral lists this unclassified non-coding RNA (336 nucleotides) under soil metagenome. RNAcentral's name for it is "partial contains 5.8S ribosomal RNA, internal transcribed spacer 2, and large subunit ribosomal RNA". The stretch from base 1 to 120 matches the Rfam family "5.8S ribosomal RNA", at positions 35 to 154 of the family's 154-position model. The record is from RNAcentral.
GAUGAAGAACGUAGUGAAAUGCGAUAAGUAAUGUGAAUUGCAGAAUUCAGUGAAUCAUCGAAUCUUUGAACGCACAUUGCGCCCGCCAGUAUUCUGGCGGGCAUGCCUGUUCGAGCGUCAUUUCAACCAUCAAGCCCCCGGGCUUGUGUUGGGGACCUGCGGCUGCCGCAGGCCCUGAAAAGCAGUGGCGGGCUCGCUGUCACACCGAGCGUAGUAGAUUUUAUCUCGCUCAGGGCGUGCUGCGGGUUCCGGCCGUUAAACCACCUUCAUAACCCAAGGUUGACCUCGGAUCAGGUAGGAAGACCCGCUGAACUUAAGCAUAUCAAUAAGCGGGGA